This 73-nucleotide transfer RNA is filed under the name Minisyncoccota bacterium. Its description in RNAcentral is "tRNA-Glu". It matches the Rfam family "tRNA". From Rfam's summary of the family: Transfer RNA (tRNA) molecules are approximately 80 nucleotides in length. Their secondary structure includes four short double-helical elements and three loops (D, anti-codon, and T loops). Lineage: Bacteria; Bacillati; Minisyncoccota. The record is from RNAcentral.
GGCCCCAUCGUCUAGCGGUCUAGGACAUCGCCCUCUCACGGCGAAAACCGGGGUUCGAGUCCCCGUGGGGUCA